This is a long non-coding RNA of Siniperca chuatsi (mandarin fish), 1369 nucleotides long. RefSeq lists it as uncharacterized. The transcript is spliced from 3 exons. NCBI's taxonomy places the organism in Eukaryota, Metazoa, Chordata, Actinopteri, Centrarchiformes, Sinipercidae. The record is from RefSeq and is a predicted model, not a curated record.
UGCAGCUGAAGUAAACACUAAAAGAAGAGGGCGUGUAAACAGUUCGGUCAAAGAUACUUGUUAGAUUUAUAAACCGUCUCUAGUUUGGUAAAGAGGGAAGCCAUUUUUGGCAGUGACCUUUGUUUCUAGUUUUAAAUUGUUUCAUAUUUCACUCCUAAAGGUCUCGUUUUGCUCAAAGAAAACGGUUGGUUAUUUACCCCCCCCUCCCCCAGAAAACUGGACCGCGCUUUAUUUACGAGUUACGUUAGUACGUCAGCUUUUUGGGGUGAUACUUCCUGAUAUUAUUUAUAUAACUGAUAAGAUAGAACUACAACUGUGCUCCCGGUUGCUGGAUUUAUGUACAAAAUGGAGGAGGAGGAGGAGGAAGCCCUAAGAAACCACUGCAGACGAAUGAUUUCUUGUGUCCGAAGCAAACAGCAGCACCCUCAGUCCUCCAAAGAGGAGAGGAGACACAAACACAAAGGAGCCAGAGGGAGCGAGAGGCCCGAAUCUGGAAGACCAGUUGUAAGCGGGGACGACUUUAGAGAUCACACAGAGUGUACAGAACUAGAGCGAUACCAAGACUCCCACAAUCUCAUGUGUCAAGGUCCUGAGGUCCAGCCCGUCCCCCCUCAACUCAUUUCAAUGCUGAGGCUCAAAACUUUCAAGGAGGAGAUGAGACGGGCUGCAGAGGCGGAGCUCCAUGAUCCCGCCGCCUGCAGUGUGUGUGAGCAGGAACAGUCUUCUCUGGCCUUGAAAAGUUUUAUCAGGAGGAAGAAGACACAACUGCAGUUCCAAACCCUGAAGGGCAGACUAAACACACACACUUGAGCUAUGGAGAGUGUGCACGUUGGGGGAGUUUGUGCAAAAUCUCUCAAAGGCCUUCGAUGCCCCUCACUGGAUUUGGGAGGAAUUACUUGGUGGACAUAUGCGGGUCACAGCAACCUGGGGUUGCCUUAGCAACGACUAAGGAACGUGGAGUUGCCCUGGCAACAGAUGAAAUAAGGGGUUACCCUGACAAAAACGCUACAGGGAACUAAUUUAGCAAGCCCUCGCUGUCCUUUUUCAGACAGAUAGCUGCAGACAUGACAGGCAUAGUAUUAACACAAUGAAAGGCACAUUGUUGUGCUGGUGUCAAACAUAUUCCUACCUCUUUAUUUUGACACACAGGCUAAACCCACCCAUUUGCCCAAUGAACACUGAUCCAUAUGCUGACGGUGGUGCCCUGGUUACCCUGCUCAGCUGCAGCUAUAUUUAUAUUCACACCUCUAAAUAACAGAAACAAGUUUCUAGGCUUUGUUUUCAGUUUAAAAAAAGACAGGCUUAACAAGGUGAGUACAAAACAGCCAUUUAUUUUCUUCUCACUGUAUUAAAGUUAAACACAACACUA